CAGUCGAACGAGAUUAAGGAGCUUGCUCCUUAUGAAAGUGGCGCACGGGUGCGUAACGGGUAUGUAACUUACCUUUAUUUGGGGGAUAGCCCCGAGAAAUCGGGAUUAAUACCGCAUAACAUUGCAGAGUGGCAUCACUCAGCAAUUAAAGCUUUGGCGAAUAAAGAUAGACAUGCUUGACAUUAGCUAGUUGGUAAGGUAACGGCUUACCAAGGCUACGAUGUCUAGGGGGUCUGAGAGGAUGUCCCCCCACACUGGUACUGAGACACGGACCAGACUCCUACGGGAGGCAGCAGUAGGGAAUAUUGGGCAAUGGACGAAAGUCUGACCCAGCCAUGCCGCGUGUAGGAUGAAGGUCCUAUGGGUUGUAAACUACUUUUGUACGGGAAGAAACCUUCGUUCGUGAACGAAGCUGACGGUACCGUAAGAAUAAGGAUCGGCUAACUCCGUGCCAGCAGCCGCGGUAAUACGGAGGAUCCAAGCGUUGUCCGGAUUUAUUGGGUUUAAAGGGUGCGUAGGCGGGCUUUUAAGUCAGUGGUGAAAGUUUGUAGCUUAACUAUAAAAGAGCCAUUGAAACUGAAAGUCUUGAGUAUGGUUGAGGUGGAUAGAAUGUAUCAUGUAGCGGUGAAAUGCUUAGAUAUGAUACAGAAUACCAAUUGCGAAGGCAGUUCACUAAACCAUUACUGACGCUGAGGCACGAAAGCAUGGGGAUCAAACAGGAUUAGAUACCCUGGUAGUCCAUGCUGUAAACGUUGAAUACUCGAUGUUGGCGGAUAUACUGUCAGCGUCUAAGCGAAAGCGUUAAGUAUUCCACCUGGGAAGUACGACCGCAAGGUUGAAACUCAAGGAAUUGACGGGGGCCCGCACAAGCGGGAGAGCAUGUGGUUUAAUUCGAUGAUACGCGAGAAACCUUUACCUGGGCUUGAAUGUGA
This 932-nucleotide ribosomal RNA is filed under the name uncultured bacterium. RNAcentral's name for it is "bacterial SSU rRNA". It matches the Rfam family "Bacterial small subunit ribosomal RNA", at positions 59 to 990 of the family's 1533-position model. The record is from RNAcentral.